RNAcentral lists this ribosomal RNA (446 nucleotides) under uncultured bacterium. RNAcentral's name for it is "bacterial SSU rRNA". It matches the Rfam family "Bacterial small subunit ribosomal RNA", at positions 15 to 444 of the family's 1533-position model. The record is from RNAcentral.
GAUCCUGGCUCAGGAUGAACGCUGGCGGCGUGCUUAACACAUGCAAGUCGAACGGGAAACCUUUUAUUGAAGCUUUGGCAGAUUUAGCUGGUUUCUAGUGGCGGACGGGUGAGUAACGCGUGGGUAACCUGCCCUAUACAGGGGGAUAACAACCAGAAAUGGUUGCUAAUACCGCAUAAGCGCACAGGACCGCAUGGUCCAGUGUGAAAAACUCCGGUGGUAUAGGAUGGACCCGCGUUGGAUUAGCUGGUUGGUGGGGUAACGGCCCACCAAGGCGACGAUCCAUAGCCGGCCUGAGAGGGUGAACGGCCACAUUGGGACUGAGACACGGCCCAGACUCCUACGGGAGGCAGCAGUGGGGAAUAUUGCACAAUGGGGGAAACCCUGAUGCAGCGACGCCGCGUGAAGGAAGAAGUAUCUCGGUAUGUAAACUUCUAUCAGCAGGG